RNAcentral lists this ribosomal RNA (253 nucleotides) under uncultured bacterium. RNAcentral describes it as "partial 16S ribosomal RNA". It matches the Rfam family "Bacterial small subunit ribosomal RNA", at positions 524 to 776 of the family's 1533-position model. The record is from RNAcentral.
GACAGAGGGUGCAAACGUUGUUCGGAAUUACUGGGCGUAAAGCGUGCGCAGGCGGUUGUGCAAGACAGAUGUGAAAUCCCCGGGCUUAACCUGGGAACUGCAUUUGUGACUGCACAGCUGGAGUGCGGCAGAGGGGGAUGGAAUUCCGCGUGUAGCAGUGAAAUGCGUAGAUAUGCGGAGGAACACCGAUGGCGAAGGCAAUCCCCUGGGCCUGCACUGACGCUCAUGCACGAAAGCGUGGGGAGCAAACAGG